UGGGGAAUUUUGGACAAUGGGGGAAACCCUGAUCCAGCCAUCCCGCGUGUGCGAUGAAGGCCUUCGGGUUGUAAAGCACUUUUUGCAGGAAAGAAACGUCAUGGGUUAAUACCCCGUGAAACUGACGGUAUCUGCAGAAUAAGCACCGGCUAACUACGUGCCAGCAGCCGCGGUAAUACGUAGGGUGCAAGCGUUAAUCGGAAUUACUGGGCGUAAAGCGUGCGCAGGCGGUUCGGAAAGAAAGAUGUGAAAUCCCAGAGCUCAACUUUGGAACUGCAUUUUUAACUACCGGGCUAGAGUGUGUCAGAGGGAGGUGGAAUUCCGCGUGUAGCAGUGAAAUGCGUAGAUAUGCGGAGGAACACCGAUGGCGAAGGCAGCCUCCUGGGAUAACACUGACGAUCAUGCACGAAAGCGUGGGGAGCAAACAGG
RNAcentral lists this ribosomal RNA (429 nucleotides) under Acidobacteriota bacterium. RNAcentral's name for it is "Acidobacteria bacterium partial 16S ribosomal RNA". It matches the Rfam family "Bacterial small subunit ribosomal RNA", at positions 355 to 776 of the family's 1533-position model. The record is from RNAcentral. Lineage: Bacteria; Pseudomonadati; Acidobacteriota.